RNAcentral lists this long non-coding RNA (12367 nucleotides) under Venturia canescens. Its description in RNAcentral is "uncharacterized LOC122410077". Lineage: Eukaryota; Metazoa; Arthropoda; Insecta; Hymenoptera; Ichneumonidae. The record is from RNAcentral.
CCAUGUUGGGAAAAGUACAAAACAUGGAAGAAAAAUUAAGAAAAUUUUCAUCUUCCAAUCAAUACGAAUGCUUUUUGUACAGGAAUAAAUUUCCGCACACAAAUUAAUUGUUUCGUCGAAAAAUGAUAGAUUCCUUCGAUACAGUAUGAGCGAUCCAAUCGCUGUUAUUGCGAUCGCUCCUUAGAAGAGAGUCGACACUCACCCCUCGCGACUGCUCGCUAUCCCGUACCAAUCUGCUGAAACACAUCGCCAUACUUCAUAAGCACCCUCAUCGUGGUCGCUCCUGCGUGUAAUAUAAUAAGUACGUCGUUGGAAGUAUCGACGAAAGCUCGGUCGAAGCGUUUCGCCUCUUCUGUAUCGAUGCUGGAGCAGGGAACAUCACUUUUCUAUUAACGCGAUUGAAAUUUUUUUUUUCCUCGUAAGUGACACUAUCAAACGUUAAUAACUGAUCGUUUUUACAGUCUACAAAAAACUUUCCACAAAAUCUUCAUAGUUUCAAACAUUUAUACGCGCCGGAAAAUAAUUAAAGUAUUUUUAUAAUAGAGCUUCCAAGAAAGUUUUCGCAUUUUCGAAUAACUAGAUACUCCAUACAAUAAUAAUAAUAAUAAUAAUAAUAGAUUUUUUUCCCAAGAUUUUCGGUGGAUGGCGAAUCACUGUGUUGUAAAAUGUACCGAAAUUUAUAACGCUCCCUAUUCUUAUUUGGUGUCUGAAAUAUGAAAGGGUCGACGGAAUCGACUUCACCGUAACACAAGUCAUUUUCGUGUGAUAAAUCAUGGUAAAGAAAAAUCGAAAUUGCUAAAAAAAUAUUCAUCCCCGAAUAAUAUGACUUCCAAAACCCAUCGACUGAUUUUUGAGGUCUUCGAAGACGCUCAAUCCCAGUCAAAUGGAAGAUGCCUGGUUUUUUUUUUAUUAUCACGCAAUAUCGUUUGAGACCAAUGACAAUAAGGUUCUGGGUCGCGGAACCAACGUUUUUUUCCACAAUCUUCGAAACAUACCGAUUUUUCUUCUGAUUGAAGUUGUCCAUAUACGUUACCACAGAUAAGACGGCUACCCCGUUUUCAAUGUAUGCUCCAACCGCCUACCCUUCCGAAGCACACCACGCAUUCGUUCCUCCCGAGGGAGCGUUUACCGCGGAUAAUUUAUAUUUAUGACCGACGGCUCUACCAACCCCACUUCUCUCGUAUACAUUUAAUUGAGACGUCCUCGUUGGAACCAAUAGGGCGAGGGAAUCAUUAUCUUGGGAAGGGAGAAGCAGAGAAUACACGCAAAAAUAGGCGACGCCGCUGUUCGCUAGAGGAGGCAAUGACAAAAAUCCGUGAAGUGGAUACUUGGAUAAUCUUGAAAGCUUAUUCGUCCUGCAUAUUUCGUUUUCAAUGGUUAUUUCUACAGUCGUAUGAAUGUAUUAGAUCACUCAUAUGUUAACAUGCCACCAUGAGAAAUUCGUUCGAUUGAUUUCGAGAUGUCGUGUCUACCGAUUUGAGAAAACUACCGUUUGACGAAAAAUGCGUUUAAAGAUUUAAAUGCGAUUAUUACCAAUACGAUUUGCAGUAACCUUCUAUGUCUGGCGUUCAGUUUCCUCGAACAGUUAAUCGACAGAGUUAAUCUUUUUUUUAACUAGCUACACUGGAUUAAGUUGUUUUCUUUUCAAUUUUACUAAACUAUUUUAUUGUUGAGAUACUGAAAUUUACUAGGCUUUCAAGAUAAAAAUAAAAAAAGUGGGACUCUGACUUCACUCAGAUCAUUAUCCAUAGAAAUUUCAAACACAACUGCAAGAGCACACGAAUGUGUCUUUUAAGGAGGUUUUGAGGGUAACAACUAUAUGGUCCAACCCCUCACUGGAUACGCCCUUUCAGCAUCAACUCAUUCUCAUGUGUAUGAUUUCGGGGAAGUCUUGUCAUUUGACCGAUUCGAUCCACGCGGAUGUCUCCCUCGCUUAUGUCCGGACACAUCAUUCGUAGUGAUCACGCGUGAAGAAUUUCUUCGGUUUAUUAGAGGACGAAUAAUGUUUUCAAGGACGACACAAUGAGGCUUUUUUCCUAUGCAGUGAAACUUCUAUAACACAUCGUUCUUGUCAUCGUGAUUUGUUCCAUGACCCAGUGGAUCGAGAAAGGCUCGAUACGAUUGAAAUAUUUGUAGAGAAAUAUUUCAAACAGUUUAAAAUGUCCGAAUUUUUCAAAUUUUAGCAAUGGAAGUCAAGGUUAUGGAAAAAAUUCUUGCAGCAAGUUGCAGUAGAGUUAAAAACUGUGUGGUAAGUUCGUUCUUGCUUGUAGCGGAUAAAAAAUAACAGCACCAACGGCUCGGGAGGGCGAGAUCCACUUAGUUUUUAGAGCGAGCCCUUUCACACGAGUCGUCCCUCCAUAAACUAUUAAACACUAAUUCCAUUAAAGCGAGGAAGGGUUGUGCACGCUCGUUUCUAUCUCUGACCCAUAUUUCAUAGCAAAAGCUUUUCAAUCUGAGAAAAUACUUACAGACCAAACGCUCUACGGAACACACUACACACCCUUUCUCCGCGCGUGAACGUGUUCGGUGCUGUACGCUGGUCGCUCUGAUGCCUCCUCGCACUUACUUACUCUCUGUCCUUUUUUUUCUCACCCUCGAUAUCUUUCUCUCCAUGUAUCUCAUCACUCUUCUUCUCUAUUCCGUAAAACUAUAUAUUUCCAUCCUGGAGUCUGAAAAUAUGGAAGCCACUCCCGACAGACAAGCGAAAUUCGAUGGCGAAAUUACGAACGAAAAAGUUUCUGUUUGUUUAUUGCUUCUUGUCCGAAGAAAGGAUGAAGAUAGAGGGAGUGUGAAUCGGAAAGGGAGAGAGAGAAAAGAGGAGACAAAAAAGAAUUUUACGUACGGUGAUAGUUGAGGAUUGCGAUAAACUCCUUUUCUAUUUUAUUACUAGAAGACAUUUCUUAUAAUUCUAGGAUCAACUACAUUGAAAGUUUUCUCAUAGACGUUUCGAUCCGAUCGACUUACGAAAGUGGAAUCUGAACAGUCCGAGGUGCAGCACCAGCACGUGAAAAAAUUUCCAAAUUUUUCGUCGAUUUUCUAGCUCACAUUUAGCCUCGUAUCUGUGGCAUGCGAGUCCGAGUCCGUAAAUCCACUGGGCCAAUCAGACACCUGAUGAAAAAUAAGUUUUUCUUCUCCGUAUCCUUUUCGAUCAUCGUUUAUGAGCUUACGCAAAAAGGUGCGUCGUUCGCACAAUUUAUCGACCGGUUUAUUCCUCUCGAUAGUCUCAUUCAUGAUUUAGGGAAUCGUAUAAAAUGUGAUUCCCAUGGCGGGCCUACCGAAGUCAAUGAAUCCGCAACGAAAAACCGUUGAGAGUGAAAAAAAAACUGGAGAAAUAUAGUUAUGCAGAUUCGUCACGAAGUUUUUGCCGACUAUCCGAAAAUGAAGAAUCUCAGCAAUUAUGCAAUCGCCCAGAAGCCCCACGAUAACGGAGUUUCAAUUAAUACCAAUGAACUUUCGAAGGGUCGCACGGCGCUGAGAAGUUAAUAGAAUGUUUCCGGCUGAUGAUUGAGAAAGAAACGUGGUAAACUCGGCAAGUAUCUCAAUCUAUGAAUCAUCCGAAAAUUUUCUCAAAAAUACACUCUGUAUGCAGCCAAUGAUAACAAAUCUAUGUGCCAGUUACAUGAAAGUCUGAGAGCAAUUUUUUUUAGUCUUUUUAUUUUUCAAUUACUUCGAAGAUUCGACGAGAGCGAUCUAUCCUGCCAUCAGGGCGUCAGAAUGAAAGAUCUUGCCAAUGGUUUAGCUGAAAAUGGAUGAAUCCAAUUGUCCUAAACGGUUCCUUAACACUGAGAAACUUGUAAGAUCCAUUUUUCAUUACUAGUUUUUCUCCUCUCAGUAGAAAAAAAAACCACGUAUUGCAAGUAUUUUUCCACUUCUCUGAAUCUCUGAAUAUAAUACAAAAAAAUUCUAAAAUGAAUAAUCUUGCAUACGUACACUAUGAGAGUAGUUUCGAGGAUAUGCAAAGUUCGAUAUUCCCGCGUUGUUUAUCCUCUCUGGUGAGGUUCUUCGGAUCACCACUACAGAAAUUUCUCAUCGAAUGAGUACCAUAGAAGAAUGUGCUCAAACGAAUAUAAUCUCUUGGAAGUUUUCAAACCGAUUAAGCCGGUGAUCGGAGAGUGCAAGAGAUGAUAUCGAUGUAUGAUGAGAAUCGCGAGGCGAAAGUGCGAGAACAUUUUCCGAGAGGCACCAAAGUGACGGAUGGUCCCAUGCUCUCUUCGUCUCUUCCAUUCUCGAUGGUAUCGGAGCGCGUACAGCCCCAGCACAAGCUCUCCCGGUUACCAACUUUUUCGCACACGCCUACGAUCGAAUAUUGCAGAAAACUUGAAUUGGCUAUCGUUUCACCAGACUUGUUUACGAAUUGCUGAGAAUUUUUUUGACUCAGCGUAUAAAAAUCAGCUUAACGAUGAAUUCAUUUUCUAGAAUUCUUUCUCGACAGAGUUAUCGAUUCGAAUAAUCGAUGCGUAACUGAAAGCUGUUGUCAAAAUUUUCAUAAAGUUUUGGUCUAUGUUAGUUUUUUUUUCCCCACAAUAUCUUUGAGGUAGACAAAUGAUUGAAUCUCAGUAAAGCACUCGGGUGUAUACGUGCUGUGCAUAUAUGGACAGACGACGAUUAAUUUCGUCGUCACCGAACAGGGUGGUUGAGAGAUUGCGCCAUAGAUGACUUCCAUAUUGGCUGGUGGCUUUGGGAUAAAUCGACGAGCGUGCGAACAACUGCGGUAGUGAUUAACCCUGCCCGGUACACUUCUGCUAGCGACUAUCACAAAAUUCGCGUUGCUUCGUGUGUCACAGUACGCGUUCGUAAUAACUGUAUAGUAUCGCCGGCAGCGUCACCUAUUCCUUCGCUCCUCAAAAAGUGUCAUAAACUCAUUCGAAGCUUUACUGCGAAUCGCUUUACAACUUGCGCGCGGUUACGAUGCCGUCCGGCGUUAUUCGAACACCAUUACCUACCGGGAUUCCACCGCGCGACAUCGCAACGCUACUGAAAAGCCAUACUACUUCACUCCAUCUCUCUCUCUCUCUCUCUCUCUUCCUCCCGCGCGCAGCCACACCAUCACAUGUAUAAUAUCUCGGGAACUAGUUACCGAAACUGCGCUAGUUUAAAUUACGAGCUACGGCGCCUUCUCGACUUUUUUUCUCGUAGUUUGUCCCUCUAUACGGAAGGUUAUAUUCACCCGGAGAAAAGCCACGUCGCAAUGUCGAUGUAUACGAUUCGCGAGAUCUUUCGCCUGCCCUCGCUGCUAGUCCUUGAUCCUUCUCUUGGUGCAAAGCACACACGACGGACGUAAAACGAACGGGCGAUAUUUCCCCGGUUAUUUUCAUGAUCUCUCUACCCAUUCUCGAGUUUCAUCUAUCUUUCGCAUACUUCAACCUCUCGUCAUUCUCCUUAUUAUACAGUACUCUCGCGGGUUGUAUACAAGACUCGAGUCUAGAUUUUGCAUGUUUUCUUAUAGCCUGAAACUCUCGAACCGAGAUUUCUACCAUAAAGCAAAACGAGCCCCGUUCGAAUCUAUCAUUUGUAUGUUUUGUAUUAUUUGCAGUGCUUCUCAUCUGUUUUCCAAAGUUACAUACGAGUGUACUCGUCGGUAUUCAAUACAUUCAUUCCGAUUCGUUAGAACCCAAGAACUUGUUAUUGAGCCGAUGUCCAUUGAAUGUUUUAUUUUUUCACGGCCGUGCUAGAAGCUGUUUCUCUAUCCAACAGCUUCGCAAUAAGUUCCAAUCUGGCUCACGACGAGAUGAAUUUGGCGACGAGUUGUUAGAUCAUUAUUGAGGAAAAACCACGUCGAAGUAAUUUAGCGAUGCAGUAUUUCUAGCUUGAUUCGGGAUUGUUAAACAAAUUCUCUUUUGCCCAUUAAACACGAAUCUGGUUGAAAAUUCGACAAUGAUAAACACACAGUUCUCACAUGGCUUCGAUGUUUUCAACCAUGGAAUGAAUUCCAAAUGGAAUGAAAGGAGAAUAGAAAUAAAAAGGAAGAAUAACGAAGCAUGAAAUAUGAUUCCAAAGCAAAAGAGUUUGAAUACAAUUCAAGAGGUGAAUUAUUAAAAAAAAAAAUAGUAAAUAUUAAUCCAAAGAGUCGUAGAUGGAAAAGAAAAUCUGGGACGAAGAAUCAAAAUUAUUUUUCAAAAGGGUCAAAAUAUUCGAACCUUUUAGCAGAGUUGUUUUGGUCAGAGUAUUUUCCAUGAAGAUAUUCGUGUUCAUACAUACGGACGUUGAACGAAAAUGGCGUUUGCCCUGAGGCCGGAAUUGAAACCACUUCAUUAUCACAAAGGUGCAGGGGGUUGAUAGAGAGGCGGGAGGUGCGAAGGGGUACACGGUGCGACGGCAGCUCGACAAUAGAAUCCGUUUUGCGAAUAUCGAGGAUAAUGUCACGAGCGUUUUCAUACAACAUGGAAAAGCACAGGCCACAGAAUAUACGAAACAAGUACACGACGCAGCCGCUUGUCUAUCCGCCUGCGGCUACCGUAUUUCACCCUCCCAUCUCUAUUACAGCGAGCUCGAACCAUGAUGAAAAAUGGAAAUCUCGAUUCGUCGCGGUAAAGGCGAAAAGUGGAGAGGAGAGCAAUCUCGACUAUGCGCUUUUUGUACGGGACGAUGCAUUAAACGAAAUACCAUCAACAACAAAAAAGUUUUUAGAUUCUAUAAAAAAUAAACGAUCCCCUUCCAUCGUUAUUAUUUCACUCAUUUCGUAUUCAUCUAUUUUCGCAGAUUAUGUCAGUUUACAAACAAUUAUAUGGACCAAUCGAAGAAGCUGUCACCCCAUUUUAAUAAAGAUGGAAUCGUAGGAGGAAUAAAUUAAUGACGAAUUUAAUAUUCCCUUUGAGAAAGCACGAUGAGGCUUAUAAAAUGCCGUUAAGGAAUGAAGGUGUAGGAUAAAUUAAAUAUGAGAUCGGCCAGGAGGAGGAAGAAGAAGAAGAAGAAGACGGCGUGAGGGUUAUAGAAAUGCCUGGCAUAUAUAAGAGGUCCAAAACGCCUCUGAAGCAGAUGACACGUUCGCGUACGCCCGAUAAGGAAAAUGGUGGCUGUAACACACUUGGCGAAGAUGCCCUUAUUACGAAAGACACGAAGUCUCGUUGGACGGCUCACCAAGGCAAUCGGGCCCUUUACGACACGACUUUCGUGAUACUCCGCUCCUGUAGAACCUCGAACAAGCACACCGUGGAGAACACAUCCGUUCUCUCCUCUCUUCCUUUCUUCUCUCUCUUUCCCUAUCCUUGCCUCUCCCACCUCCUCGCAGUCUCUCUUUUGUAUGCUCCUCGCAUAACAAAACCAACCCCUUCGAGUGAAUCUCCUCGUCGAGCGUUACAGCUUCAAUUAAACGUAACACCGAUUACGAGGUAUAAUGACACUGGGCGAGAUAGACGCGGUGACUCGGCAGCGUUAUCCACCGUUCACUGCUGACAUUGGAUUUGGUAGUCUACCCGGUUCUUCCCUUGUUGCCAAAUUCUCCAUAAAACGCAGAUUUUUCUUGGAUAAACUGUGCUUGUCCUUGACUAUUUUUAGCUAACGGUGACAUUGUUUAGUCCGAAAGGGAAAAUAUAUAAUUAGUUAAAAACGCUGAGCAAUCAAACAUUUCCUAGAAAUUAUGUGAAAUUAAUUAUUAUUUUUGUGAUUAAAGCAACCCUUCCGCCGCUAUCAGAUUGCCAUGAAUUAUUGUCAAUAAAACGGAACUGCUAUACCGCGUACAACUAUCUUAGACACCUCAGCUAAGUUAUCACCGAAUUACUAUCGCUCUCGAUAGCAGAAUUUCAAGCUCAGAAGAUUCUUCGUUCUGAAUAUGUUUAAGAAAUAUAUUACUUCUCUCCGUCGCAUGAAUAUUCACCGCGUGCAAUCAGUUAUGUUAUCUCCUUCUAUUUCAAGAACUCAGCAAUAAGUUGCAAGACAAAUUCAAAGUUUUCUGUACACCGUCGCAGUUGGCUGUGGCUGAAAGAAUAGGCUGUCCUGGUACCAAGAUUGCACAUGGUAUUAUAUGUCGCGGCAUAUUGGUUAUCUCUCGGAAGACCGUUCAACAUUUCCGACCAAGUUACCAUGCACUGUAUCUUUGUAUGUAUGUAUAUAACCGUCUGUAAGAAGACGGUAUCGCGGUCAAGAUGGCAUUACAUAUACAGUGUGCUCCACCUUCUAUUUGCAUAUAAACUCCUAGCCAGCGGCAAGGGAUCCACCCAACGUUUUGAUUUAUGCAACAAAUAUGCCUCGCCCUCCUUCUCGAUGUAACCGCUGCUGCUACCAUCAUAUACUCAAAGUACUUCAUAUUAUUUUGCUACUACUCUUAAAUCUCAAUACCAACUAUUCUUCUAUUCUGUGAAUCAGCACGAUAUUCGAGUAAACAUUGAUUGAACAUAUUAUUUGACGUAGUUCAAAAGAUUAAAUCCUUCUGGAUGAAGAUUUCUGUCCCGUAUUUAUUGAAACUGUGUUAAAGAUCUGCACUCCAGCCUUGCUUUACAGAUGCAAGUUUCUGAGAAAUUUCCAAUUUCAAAAUCAUACGAUCUCUCGGUUAGAACAAUUUUCAUUUAACAUUCAAUCUGUUUCGUUUUUUAAAGGAAAUUAAAAUUUGAAGUUUUUAGUCUUCCGACACGUAUCUCUGGUUCUCCUUAAAGUUAUUUUACAAUUCCAUUCAAACGAAUUGAAUGUUCUCAAGCGACUGAAUUUUAAGGUUAAUCAUUAGGAAACAUUAGAGAGUUUUAGUAAUACAAAAAUUGAGAUCGUCAUUAACGUUACCGUAAAUUUCGUUACGGUCGUCACCAGUAUACUUGCGCAUCGCUGCACGCUUUCCAGGUUGCGUGUUCUCAGAGCACAGCGAAGAAGCCUCGGACCCAAGCCGGUGACGGAGCAGCCAGCAGGAAAAGAAGGCUUGUCUCUCAAAUUCCAUGCUUUUUGAGGUUACGGUUGGCUCAUACAAUGAUCUUUUUCAGCGCCGUCGAUGACAAGCAGAGUUAGUUUUCCGUUCAUUUGGAUCGGUGAAAACGUACGAGUUGCACUCGAGUUCUUGGAAUCGAAGUUUGCGUGGGGCAGCGAGUAAAAAUCCGUGGAGCUCGUUCUCUUUAAGCCUCUCCGAAAUGAUGCGUUCCCAGAAACGCCGAUCACCUCCGUAAGUUUCAAAAGUGCCUUGUAACUAACGAAUCAGAGUUUGCAUAUGUUUGAAGAAGUUCAUCUGGUCUGUGGUGAAUGUGCAUUACAAUGACGAUUCACGUAACUAUUCUCGGUCUGCAACUCAUGUUAACCCCUCUCUUCUUCGCCGGGAAAGCACAUGGUCCAAUCCGGUUGCGAGUCAGGUGCACGGGAGGAGAAAAACAAAGCGCGCUCCCCCUUAAUUUCGAGAGUGGGGCGCGAUCUCAAUCCUCCCACUGUUCGCUGCAACAAGCAGCUCGUCGCGUAAAUCGUGUUUGCAUUUUUUUGCGUCAACGAAAUUGCAUGCUUUUUGAAAUGAUAGUUGGCUCGGUUUACUCACAAUUUUCUACAUAACUUGGAGGUGCGCAAAAUAUUUUGGCGUCUUAACUCGGCAGACAUACGAUCUUUGUUCGUACUUAGUUUGUUCGUGCUAGUCGUCCACUUUUGCACGUCUUCGAGAUGUUGCAUCCUCAAAGACCUACAUGUUUUUGGUGUUGAAAUGAAUAGUGUACUCGUACUCUUCCAGGUCUGCACAGACUCGCGUGCUUGCUGUCAGAAGCAGCGAUUAGUUCGUACGACGUUCGUGAGGUCGACAGUUUUUCAAACGCGCUACUCAUUUAGUUGGAUAUUGUCACCGCAUUUACUUCAUCGUUUCAUCAGACAUUUCACUCGUUGGAGGAGGGAUAUUCCGUAAAUAAAUUCCCAUUUUUCGCUUUGGUGGCUGAGUACGGUCUUUGCAAUUACGGUAUGUAACCCCCAAUGGACUAUUCAAAUUUUUGCGUCGUAUUCAAAAUGUUAUGAUUAUAUUUAUAUGGAUUACGAAAGUAUGAAAAAGUUUUAAAAAGUGUCGUAAUCGCUAAAAAUCCCGGUACAUACAUUUUUCCGAAUAAGCAUAAAUGAAUAACUGCCUGCAAGCUGAACGCCGCUAUCGUUCACGUUUUGUCUCGUUAAUCAUUCAUAUUUUUAUUCCAUUAGUUAUUCACCGAUACAACGCGAUAGAAACUUCGUUACGCGGGAAACGAACGGUGGCAAAUAUCAUGUAUUAUUCCGUAAAGAUAACACGAUUCUUAUUUUCAUUCGUUUUUUGCCUUAAGGGAGAGGCAAUUGAAACAGCGACAUUAAACUCGAUUGCACAAGUGCUUAUAGAUAGCAGGCAAUUUUCUUAUGGUUUGUCAUGGUGUUGAAAUAUAAUGGGGCUUCGAGUUAAACCGGCGUCAAAGUUGUCGUAGUGAAAGAGGGGAUUGGUGUGUGAGAGAGAGAGAGAGAGAGAGAGAGCACGUUGAAGGAGCAUAGUGGGGAACCUGUUACCGAGUCAUUUGCAUUGCAUCAACGAGAUUUCGUUAAAUGCGCCACCCGCCAACGAAAGCUUCUCUAGCGAGUAAAACGUCUCUGUGGCAAGAUGCGCGAUUAUGGUACCAUUUACAGAAUACCUUUCAUUGUACAUCAGGGAUUAUUGUAUUGGGUGACUUUGACCCGGACCAGAAUCCUUCGUUUCAACUUGCUUGAGAUUCGAAGCUCUAUUUGUUUAGCGACAGUAGAGCAAAUAGUUUUUCGAUAUUCAGCUGGAUAUCAUUAAUUGAAAAAAAAUUGUACAAUAUUUGAAUUGAUAGACGCCGAAAAAUUCAAAUCACCCCGAGUAUCAUUCCAUACCUGAGAUGACUUCACUUACAAACAUGUAUUGUAGCAACUUCGGUGACUUUAAAUCAUAAAAAAUUAGUUUGCUCUCCUCUCUUCAAAAAAAUACUCGCUCAAUGUUAAAUAAUCUUGCAAAGAUUUUUAAAGUGUAUUUUUGCAAUGAUGAAUUGACACACAAUUCAACUCUAUAUGAGAAACGAUGUUGGAUUUUAUUUUAUUGAUUAUCGAGCUCCAUGUUUGGAUAACUAUACCGACAUAUCCUUUAACCGAGAAUCGAUAACUCAAAAUUCUUUUAUUGCUUGAAUACAAAAGAAGAUCUUUCGAAUAGCAUUCUGUAGUGAAGUGCAAUCCUCUGCACAACGUCGGUCACACAGAAUCGCUCCCCUGAUAUUAUUGGCUGCCGAGCACUGACCCUCAAUCGAUAAAGUUUCAAGUUAAACUACAUUCUCAAAAGAUGUAAAGAAAAAAUCGAGUUUUUUAGAUUUAUCAAUGUUUUUAAUAUCAAUAAUUAGGAUUUUUAUAAGAAUUUGAGGAUACAUCACCGAAGAACUUAAAAACCGAAAAACAAUUGAAAUCGCUGUCGGGUCUUACAACAAGUCUCGCGUCUUUACCGACUGGACUAAGAGUUGUUAUUGAAACUUUUUUAUCAUGGUUGGGUAAAAUUUCAAGUUUCGUGUUUGCAUCAGACUUAUAAAUGCGCUGAGAACGAUUACAGUAUCAAAUCAUACAAAAAGUCAUUUGUAAAAAAAAGUUGACGCUCUCGAAAUCGGAGAGUCUGAACAGAGUCCGAGGUGACUCUGUUCAGAUAAAAAACAAAUCAUUUCAUGUGAUUUAAUACAAUAUAAUUUCACCAUUGGAGUUACGAACAGUUGCUUGAAUGGUUUUCUAUUACAAAUCGAUGAUACGUUUAUCACGUAAGCAGAGUUAUCGAUAGAUGGUAAAGUAGCAUCUGGCGACCCUGAAUCUUUCCUGCGCCUCUUACCGCUUGAGCAUAUCUCAAAAUUCAUCGAGCUUCAAAUUACCUUAUAUGGAAUGGAACGUAACAGUUUCCAUUAUAAUCAGAACGAGGGCUUUACGAUAGAAGUUUAUUCCCAAAAAAAUACGGUAGGCCACGAAUUUCUUGGGUAUUUGAUUUCAACUGUGCAGCAUCGACAUCGUAUGUGGCAAUAAGUAGAAGUACCUACUUAAAAUAGUGAUAAAUUCGUUGAUCAUAUAGCAACGAAAUAUGUCCAAGUUAGUUAGGGUACUAGAGAGAAGAGAGAGAGAGAAAGAGAAAGAGAGGGAGGGAGUGGACGAGUGUACUUGCAAGCGCAAUUAUCGAGGUACUCGGCGCGACUACGUGCCUCAUCUCCAGAGGAUUAAUUGACUCGUUCUGGCUGCUGGACACUACCUCAUUACGCGCAGCAAUGAGAUACGAUGCACCCACGCGGAGUUUGCUCGGGGUUCGGAAUGAAAGGUGCAUGCAUUAAAACAUACGCUUCAUGCAAUGUCACGUUUGCUCUGCUGCAGAUUGUGCAUGGGUGUACAUUAUUCUAUUGUUCAUUGUAAGUUGCCGUUCGAGGAAGACCAUUUUGUUUAGUCCGUCGGAGAUACACUAGAAAAAAAGAUGCGUUGAUGCGACUAUAUUUUUGUU